This 465-nucleotide ribosomal RNA is filed under the name uncultured Stenotrophomonas sp. Its description in RNAcentral is "bacterial SSU rRNA". It matches the Rfam family "Bacterial small subunit ribosomal RNA", at positions 338 to 795 of the family's 1533-position model. Lineage: Bacteria; Pseudomonadati; Pseudomonadota; Gammaproteobacteria; Lysobacterales; Lysobacteraceae. The record is from RNAcentral.
CCUCCGGGAGGCUGCAGUGGGGAAUCUUGGACAAUGGGCGCAAGCCUGAUCCAGCCAUACCGCGUGGGUGAAGAAGGCCUUCGGGUUGUAAAGCCCUUUUGUUGGGAAAGAAAUCCAGCUGGCUAAUACCCGGUUGGGAUGACGGUACCCAAAGAAUAAGCACCGGCCAACUUCGUGCCAGCAGCCGCGGUAAAACGAAGGGUGCAAGCGUUACCUGGAAUUACUGGGCGUAAAGCGUGCGUAGGUGGUCGUUUAGGUCCGUUAUGGAAGACCUGGGCUCAACCUGGGAACUGCAAUGGAUACUGGGCGAAUAGAGUGUGGUAGAGGGUAGCGGAAUUCCUGGUGUAGCAGUGAAAUGCGUAGAGAUCAGGAGGAACAUCCAUGGCGAAGGCAGCUACCUGGACCAACACUGACACUGAGGCACGAGAGCGUGAGGAGCAAACAGGAUUAGAUACCCUUGUAGUC